AUGUUUACAGAUCCCUUGCCGUACUCACUGUAUACUCGCCAAGAUCAUCAGCUGUCACCAGAUUGAUGAAGGUAUGCACUUUGCCUCUUUUCAGGUUGGGAAAGGCGCUUACAACAGUUUGAUACAACUGCCUGUUAGUCUCUUUGUCCGAAUUGUCCGUAUCUUUUUGUUUCAUCACUUGCUCGAUUACAUUAAAUCCAAUUAUAGGUUUAGGGAGUUGCUGACCUUUUAGAACAAGCAUAGGAAUGACUAAUUCUUUCACUCUUUCAGCAGGGGAGGCCAACCUGAACGUCACUUCAACCCAUCCUCCGUACGGCAUGUCAGUACCAUUGGCCGACACAAGAUGUAGGUGUUCGGGUGUUUCUGUGGCUUCAGAAAUAUCCCUCAGUCUAACUUCCGUAUUUAGCAGUGUUGAAAGUGGUGGUUACCUCACUGACCUGGGUGCCGUCGCUUCUGAACUCACUGUCUCAAGCGCACGCACCACUAAAUCAGCCUGGUCUCUCCACUUCACUCUGCAGCCUCACUGCUGUACGUCUGGGUAAGAGAUGAAUGUGACUGGGUGGUUCUCGCUGAUGAAGGAGUCAGUCCACCCAACAAUCAUCCCAGCGGUGCCUCCAAAAUUGUAGUACUCCUUUACCUGUAAGUAACAAGACAAUGAAAAGAAGAACGCAUUUGUGAUGGCUUCUCGUCUUUGCAUUUACUACGAAUGAGCAUCACUGGCGCGCAGGCUGCUAUGAGAUGCGUGCGAUGACGUCAUCACACUGGUAGGUUAUGCCA
Long non-coding RNA from Carassius gibelio (silver crucian carp), 777 nucleotides. RefSeq lists it as uncharacterized. The record is from RefSeq and is a predicted model, not a curated record. NCBI's taxonomy places the organism in Eukaryota, Metazoa, Chordata, Actinopteri, Cypriniformes, Cyprinidae. The transcript is spliced from 3 exons.